ACCAAACGCGCUGAUUCGCCAGCACCUGAUGCCACAAGACACUGCUUUUAUUACUGGGGGGGGGCUCGUGCAACGAGGGGUGGAGCAAAUCAGACGUGAUGAACAACUUAUUUAGGACGCCGGGAAGAAAACAAUCAGUGGCAAGUGACUGACACAAACGUGGCAUUUGACAGGAAACAAGGCGUUAAGAAGCGGGACGUGAGUGGAAAGCAAAAGACUGUGUUUAUAUAUUCCGGUGCAGGGGGGGCGAUGAGGCGCUCAUCAAAGCUUUGCUGUGUAAUCCGUGUAGCAGCUCCUCGGAGGCAGCGGAACCUCAGUCUGCGGCUCCUUGCUUAGGCCUUGAAUUAGAGUAAAGUGUAGGGAGAAGCCUGGGCCAUGUCCCCUUUGGGAGGAAGUGAAGUCACACCACUUCCUGUGAGGAUGUUCUGUGGCCACCAGGGCCGAUGCCUUUCCGUAGACAAACCUAGCCGAUGAAAUGGAAGAGGACAUUGGAUGGAGUGUAACUGACACCUGUUCCCUGCACCGUGACCGUCAACUUGUUGCAGUUCAGAAGACCAUCUGAAGAGGGCGCACAGCAAAACCAGUGAUACAGAACCAGUGAAAACCAGUUACACAUAUGGUGCCAUUGGACCAUUUGGGUUACAUGAAUGGAGGGUCAACCCACACUGGUGCCAGAUAACUGCAAAUGAAGUUUGUGCCAGAUGUGUGACGACAUUAUGAAGCUCUGGGGUCCACUUGCCUCAUUCCUAGCAAAUAAUGUUACAGCUUGUAACACACAGUAAAUAUUCUUUGGCCCUUAAA
This is a non-coding RNA of Paramormyrops kingsleyae, 801 nucleotides long. The record is from RefSeq and is a predicted model, not a curated record. NCBI's taxonomy places the organism in Eukaryota, Metazoa, Chordata, Actinopteri, Osteoglossiformes, Mormyridae.